This 1137-nucleotide ribosomal RNA is filed under the name Triticum aestivum (bread wheat). RNAcentral's name for it is "partial small subunit ribosomal RNA". The record is from RNAcentral. Lineage: Eukaryota; Viridiplantae; Streptophyta; Magnoliopsida; Poales; Poaceae.
AUGAAAUUCUAUCUAGAUGCCAACACCCUCUUCUUCGAGAGACCUGAACACGCAGACAAUAGAUCCACCGCCAUCUUCAUCCACAUGGCCGAGAUCGAGGCAUUCGACUAUCCUGAUGAGCUCUGGCACCCUGAGGGGGCAGAGUACUUCUUCUCCCACCUUGGUGACUUUGUCUCCGCUGACCAACAUUGCUUCCAGGGCGACCUCUCCAGCGUCCGUGCUCUCGUCAUGGUUGCUCGCGACUUCGUCCUCCCACCCUGCCUCAUGGUGCGCCUGCCUGACAACGAUGUCGCUAUCGUCAAGCUGGAGAGCCGCGCGCUCUUCCGGCACGGCUCUGGGGCCUCUCCCUUCUCCUCUGAGAACGGGGACAGCGACUCACAAGUUUCCAACCCUCCUCUGUCUCCCAACACCAUCUCCCACAUACGCAGCAUCGCCACUGCCAUGUCCCCAUUCGCCUGCACUCCGGAGUCGCCAUCGGGCCCUCCUCCUUCUCCUUCGGCGGAUCGGCCUCUUGAUGGCAUCCCGAUCCUUGCUGUCAUGGCGGAUGGCAUGUCGGUCGCUAUGCUAGUCCACGCUCCAUGGACUCCUCCCGCUCGCUCACCCUCUCCUGCCCUGACGCGGGCACGCGCUCACCUCUCUCGCCCCCUGCUCGCACUGCCAGCACCACCUUCCCCGCCUCCUCAGCCGCAUGAUCCAUCCCCUCCACCUUCCCCACCUGCCCCUCCGGCACCUCUCCCUACGGUCGUUCCUGCCGUACAGCCUCUGGACCUGCCUCCUGAGCCGCCACACGAGUGUCUGGCCAGGCGCAUUAGCAGGCGCGCGAAGAUGGCUGCCGACUCUGGCAUUAAGGCCAGGCACAGCGCUCGUCUGGCCGAGAUCGACCCUCCUAUCUACUCCACUAUGACUGCCAAGGCCAUGUGCUUCAAGGCCAAGAAGCUCGACCUGUCCGCGGCAUCCAAGGAUCUCUCUGACGCUCUCAUCCAUGCUCGUCUCUGCGAUGAGACGGGGUUCAUCGACGGCACCGCUCACGGUCUGGCAUCGCCGGAGGAGCUGGCUGCCGUUGCUGCUGCCUGUGGUGCUUCGCCUGAGAUGGUCAAUGACAUUGCUUCGGGCUCCGGUGAUAUGGGAUCUCCAUGA